Daphnia pulex (common water flea) is the source of this 1079-nucleotide long non-coding RNA. RefSeq lists it as uncharacterized. Lineage: Eukaryota; Metazoa; Arthropoda; Branchiopoda; Diplostraca; Daphniidae. The record is from RefSeq and is a predicted model, not a curated record. The transcript is spliced from 3 exons.
UCCUUUAUCUUUGUGAACAGGAUUUUACUUCAGCAAGGUCCUCAUAAUGGACGACCGACAAUUCAACGUGUUUUGAUCGUUACACCGUCAAGUUUGGUCAAAAAUUGAGAAAAAGAAUAUCGUCGUUGGUUAGGUCGAGAGCGGAUAACUAUUUUUACUGCUGAUCAGGUAUUUCUCUUUUCCUGCAUUUAUAAAGAACCAAAACCAAUUUUUUUUAAAUUCCAGCAAAAUCGACCUAUAGAGUUUUUGAAAUAUCUUGUAUCCCCCGUCAUGGUGGUGUCGUAUGAAAUGCUAGUCCGCUGCUUUGAUGAAAUACAGCAAAUUAAUUUUGAUCUGGUUGUUUGCGACGAAGGACAUCGAUUAAAGAAUGCGGGCAAUAAAACAUCAUCGCUGCUCUCACAACUAGAUACUAACAGGAAAGUCCUGUUGACUGAAACCCCUGUUCAAAAUGAUUUGAAAGAAUUUUUCUCCUUGGCUGACUUUGUCAAUCCAGGCAUUUUAGGAAGCUUAUCUUGUAAUUAAUCUUUUUAAAACUAGUCGGGUUGUAAACACACCAUUAUUUCCAUGAUUCUUUUAACAGCAUCAUCGUUCUAGUAGAACGAUGACGCAUUUAAAAAAGGAGCCUAUGUGAAAGCAAAGUAAAUCACGAAAGAUUAUAUUUCCGCUUGCUUGUUGCCUGGAUUCAAAAUGGAUCUGCCACCGCCAACGAAAGCGCCUGGAACAACAUCACAACAACUACAGCCAACAAUCCGUUCGCCGGUUUAUUCGACACGGACAAUAUGGACGACUUGGGCUGGUUAUUGCCACCUAAUUUCAAACAUAACUUAUUCACGGUCAAUCCCUCAGCAACGUCAACUAUAACGAAGAAAAAUGUCAUCCUCUUCUUCGAUGACGUCAUUUUAACCAGAACAAGGUGGCGAAGAAGGCACAAACAUUCACACAAUGCAGAAUUGUAUCCUGACGACGCACCGGGUUUUCAAUAACGGCUCAGCAACGACAUCCUUGGUUGCGGAGUAUAAACAAGUCAUCAUUUUUAAUUUAAACAUUUAAAGCUUUUGCAGAAUGCAUAUGUAGUUAUA